RNAcentral lists this ribosomal RNA (254 nucleotides) under uncultured bacterium. RNAcentral's name for it is "partial 16S ribosomal RNA". It matches the Rfam family "Bacterial small subunit ribosomal RNA", at positions 523 to 776 of the family's 1533-position model. The record is from RNAcentral.
AUACGUAGGUGGCAAGCGUUAUCCGGAAUUACUGGGCGUAAAGCGCACGCAGGUGGUUUGCUAAGUUUGACGUGAAAGCGCCUGGCUUAACUGGGCGAGGUCGUUGGAGACUGGCAGACUUGAGGCGAUGAGAGGGGUGUAGAAUUCCCGGUGUAGUGGUGGAAUGCGUAGAUAUCGGGAGGAAUACCAGUGGCGAAAGCGGCACCCUGGCAUUGGCCUGACACUCAUGUGCGAAAGCGUGGGGAGCAAACGGG